Molecule: transfer RNA, 80 nt
Filed under: Clostridiales bacterium
Lineage: Bacteria; Bacillati; Bacillota; Clostridia; Eubacteriales
Description: tRNA-Leu
Rfam family: tRNA
About the family: Transfer RNA (tRNA) molecules are approximately 80 nucleotides in length. Their secondary structure includes four short double-helical elements and three loops (D, anti-codon, and T loops).
Source: RNAcentral
GCGAUGGUGGCGGAAAUGGCAUACGCGCACGUUUGAGGGGCGUGUCCGCAAGGGUACGGGUUCAAGUCCCGUUCAUCGCA